Molecule: long non-coding RNA, 264 nt
Filed under: Elaeis guineensis (African oil palm)
Lineage: Eukaryota; Viridiplantae; Streptophyta; Magnoliopsida; Arecales; Arecaceae
Description: long non-coding RNA (EGUI_LNC006262)
Source: RNAcentral
UCUCAAGAAAUAAAAGUCUGAGGCUGAGAGAGACUAUCGCCGGGUCUGUGAUGACUUGGAGCAUCUGAGGAGGGCACUUAAAGGGAGGAGAGAUUCUCCUCACCUUGAAACUCACCUUCGAAGGAGCCCUAAUUGGGGUCAUUCCAAGAGGGCCAGGACUUCCAAGGGGAUGAGCUAUGGAAAGAGAGCUCCUUGAGGAGAUGGGCAUUAUUCUUCCAAGGAAGUUCAGAUCUCCUCGGAAUCGCUCUCAAAAAUCCAGGAGAC